GAGCUAGACAGGGCCACAAAGAACUGCUAAUUACUUUGUUCUGCGGCUCAAUUCCGCAGCUAACUCG
RNAcentral lists this transfer RNA (67 nucleotides) under Hymenochirus boettgeri (Congo dwarf clawed frog). RNAcentral describes it as "tRNA-Ser". Lineage: Eukaryota; Metazoa; Chordata; Amphibia; Anura; Pipidae. The record is from RNAcentral.